GCGAGCGUCGUAUAGUGGUUAUUACCUCGGCUUCCCAUGCCGAAGACGUGGGUUCGAUUCCCAUCGCUCGCU
RNAcentral lists this transfer RNA (72 nucleotides) under Alkalispirochaeta americana. RNAcentral's name for it is "Spirochaeta americana tRNA". It matches the Rfam family "tRNA". Rfam says of the family: Transfer RNA (tRNA) molecules are approximately 80 nucleotides in length. Their secondary structure includes four short double-helical elements and three loops (D, anti-codon, and T loops). Lineage: Bacteria; Pseudomonadati; Spirochaetota; Spirochaetia; Spirochaetales; Spirochaetaceae. The record is from Rfam by way of RNAcentral.